Molecule: ribosomal RNA, 239 nt
Filed under: uncultured Stenotrophomonas sp.
Lineage: Bacteria; Pseudomonadati; Pseudomonadota; Gammaproteobacteria; Lysobacterales; Lysobacteraceae
Description: partial 16S ribosomal RNA
Rfam family: Bacterial small subunit ribosomal RNA
Source: RNAcentral
UACAUCGGAAUCUACUCUGUCGUGGGGGAUAACGUAGGGAAACUUACGCUAAUACCGCAUACGACCUACGGGUGAAAGCAGGGGAUCUUCGGACCUUGCGCGAUUGAAUGAGCCGAUGUCGGAUUAGCUAGUUGGCGGGGUAAAGGCCCACCAAGGCGACGAUCCGUAACUGGUCUGAGAGGAUGAUCAGUCACACUGGAACUGAGACACGGUCCAGACUCCUACGGGAGGCAGCAGAG